UACGGAGGUGGCAAGCGUUGCUCGGAUUUACUGGGUGUAAAGGGCACGUAGGCGGUCCUAUAAGCUCUGCCUGAAAGGCUCUCGCUCAACGAGAGCAUGCGGUGGAGGACUGCAGGACUUGAGGGUGGAAGAGGCGAACGGAAUUCCCGGUGUAAGGGUGACAUCUGUAGAUAUCGGGAGGAACACCAGUGGCGAAGGCGGUUCGCUGGUCCACUUCUGACGCUGAGGUGCGAAAGCUAGGGGAGCAAACAGGAUUAGAUACCCCAGUAGU
This 271-nucleotide ribosomal RNA is filed under the name uncultured bacterium. RNAcentral describes it as "partial 16S ribosomal RNA". It matches the Rfam family "Bacterial small subunit ribosomal RNA", at positions 524 to 794 of the family's 1533-position model. The record is from RNAcentral.